This 605-nucleotide ribosomal RNA is filed under the name Staphylococcus sp. RNAcentral describes it as "bacterial SSU rRNA". The record is from RNAcentral. Lineage: Bacteria; Bacillati; Bacillota; Bacilli; Caryophanales; Staphylococcaceae.
GGGUCUCCGCCCCUUAGUGCUGCAGCUAACGCAUUAAGCACUCCGMCUGGGGAGUACGACCGCAAGGUUGAAACUCARAGGAAUUGACGGGGRCCCGCACAAGCGGUGGAGCAUGUGGUUUAAUUCGAAGCAACGCGAAGAACCUUACCAAAUCUUGACAUCCUCUGACCCCUCUAGAGAUAGAGUUUUCCCCUUCGGGGGACAGAGUGACAGGUGGUGCAUGGUUGUCGUCAGCUCGUGUCGUGAGAUGUUGGGUUAAGUCCCGCAACGAGCGCAACCCUUAAGCUUAGUUGCCAUCAUUAAGUUGGGCACUCUAAGUUGACUGCCGGUGACAAACCGGAGGAAGGUGGGGAUGACGUCAAAUCAUCAUGCCCCUUAUGAUUUGGGCUACACACGUGCUACAAUGGACAAUACAAAGGGCAGCGAAACCGCGAGGUCAAGCAAAUCCCAUAAAGUUGUUCUCAGUUCGGAUUGUAGUCUGCAACUCGACUAUAUGAAGCUGGAAUCGCUAGUAAUCGUAGAUCAGCAUGUUGCGGUGAAUACGUUCCCGGGUCUUGUACACACCGCCCGUCACACCACGAGAGUUUGUAACACCUGAAGCCGGU